This 437-nucleotide ribosomal RNA is filed under the name uncultured Aquiluna sp. Its description in RNAcentral is "bacterial SSU rRNA". It matches the Rfam family "Bacterial small subunit ribosomal RNA", at positions 346 to 795 of the family's 1533-position model. The record is from RNAcentral. Lineage: Bacteria; Bacillati; Actinomycetota; Actinomycetes; Micrococcales; Microbacteriaceae.
UGGCUGCAGUGGGGAAUAUUGCACAAUGGGCGCAAGCCUGAUGCAGCAACGCCGCGUGAGGGACGAAGGCCUUCGGGUUGUAAACCUCUUUUAGCAGGGAAGAAGCGAAAGUGACGGUACCUGCAGAAAAAGCACCGGCUAACUACGUGCCAGCAGCCGCGGUAAUACGUAGGGUGCAAGCGUUGUCCGGAAUUAUUGGGCGUAAAGAGCUCGUAGGCGGUUUGUCACGUCUGCUGUGAAAUUUCGAGGCUCAACCUCGAACUUGCAGUGGGUACGGGCAGGCUAGAGUGCGGUAGGGGAGAUGGGAAUUCCUGGUGUAGCGGUGGAAUGCGCAGAUAUCAGGAGGAACACCAAUGGCGAAGGCACAUCUCUGGGCCGUAACUGACGCUGAGGAGCGAAAGCGUGGGGAGCAAACAGGAUUAGAUACCCCAGUAGUC